This 369-nucleotide ribosomal RNA is filed under the name uncultured Alphaproteobacteria bacterium. RNAcentral's name for it is "bacterial SSU rRNA". It matches the Rfam family "Bacterial small subunit ribosomal RNA", at positions 65 to 458 of the family's 1533-position model. Lineage: Bacteria; Pseudomonadati; Pseudomonadota; Alphaproteobacteria. The record is from RNAcentral.
AACGAGACCUUCGGGUCUAGUGGCGCACGGGUGCGUAACGCGUGGGAAUCUGCCCUUAGGUACGGAAUAACUCAGAGAAAUUUGUGCUAAUACCGUAUGAUGUCGAAAGACCAAAGAUUUAUCGCCUAAGGAUGAGCCCGCGUAAGAUUAGCUUGUUGGUGAGGUAAAAGCUCACCAAGGCGACGAUCUUUAGCUGGUCUGAGAGGAUGAUCAGCCACACUGGGACUGAGACACGGCCCAGACUCCUACGGGAGGCAGCAGUGGGGAAUACUGGACAAUGGGCGAAAGCCUGAUCCCAGCAAUGCCGCGUGGAGUGAUGAAGGCCUUUAGGGUUGUAAAGCUCUUUUACCCAGGGAUGAUAAUGACCGU